This 384-nucleotide ribosomal RNA is filed under the name uncultured Alphaproteobacteria bacterium. Its description in RNAcentral is "partial 16S ribosomal RNA". It matches the Rfam family "Bacterial small subunit ribosomal RNA", at positions 384 to 783 of the family's 1533-position model. Lineage: Bacteria; Pseudomonadati; Pseudomonadota; Alphaproteobacteria. The record is from RNAcentral.
UGAUCCAGCAUACCGCAGUGAAUGAUGAAGGCCUUAGGGUUGUAAAGUUCUUUUAAUAGGGAAGAUAAUGRCGGUACYYAUAGAAAAASCCCCGGCUAAYUCCGUGCCASCAGCGCGCGKUAAGACGGAGGGGCGCUAGCKUUGUUCGGAAUUAUWGGGCGUAAAGGGCGCGUAGGYGGAUUAGUAAKUUGGGAGUGAAAGCCCGGKGCUUAMCCUCRGAACUGCUUUCAAAWCUGCUAGUCUUGAGUGAAGUAGGGGGUGAUGGAAUUCCUAGUGUAGAGGUGAAAUUCUUAGAUAUUAGGAGGAACACCGGUGGCGAAGGCGGUCCCCUGGAUUUCAACUGCCGCUGAGGCGCGAAAGCGUGGGGAGCAACCAGGAUUAGAU